UGAGGAAUCUUCCACAAUGGACGAAAGUCUGAUGGAGCAAUGCCGCGUGCAGGAAGACGCUUUUCGGAGUGUAAACUGCUUUUCUGAAGGAAGAUUAUGACGGUACUUCAGGAAUAAGGAUCGGCUAACUACGUGCCAGCAGCCGCGGUAAUACGUAGGAUCCAAGCGUUAUCCGGAAUUAUUGGGCGUAAAGCGUGCGCAGACGGUUUGAUAGGUCUUAUGUGAAAUCCGGUGGCUCAACCACCUGGACUGUAUGAGAAACCAUCUGACUAGAGGUAGGUAGAGGCAAGUGGAAUUUCUGGUGUAGGGGUGACAUCCGUAGAUAUCAGAAGGAACACCAAUGGCGAAGGCAGCUUGCUGGGCCUUACCUGACGUUCAGGCACGAAAGCGUGGGGAGCAAACAGG
RNAcentral lists this ribosomal RNA (405 nucleotides) under uncultured bacterium. RNAcentral's name for it is "bacterial SSU rRNA". It matches the Rfam family "Bacterial small subunit ribosomal RNA", at positions 355 to 776 of the family's 1533-position model. The record is from RNAcentral.